GAUGAACGCUGGCGGCGUGCCUAAUACAUGCAAGUCGAGCGAACAGACGAGGAGCUUGCUCCUUUGACGUUAGCGGCGGACGGGUGAGUAACACGUGGGUAACCUACCUAUAAGACUGGGAUAACUUCGGGAAACCGGAGCUAAUACCGGAUAAUAUUUCGAACCGCAUGGUUCGAUAGUGAAAGAUGGUUUUGCUGUCACUUAUAGAUGGACCCGCGCCGUAUUAGCUAGUUGGUAAGGUAACGGCUUACCAAGGCAACGAUGCGUAGCCGACCUGAGAGGGUGAACGGCCACACUUGAACUGAGGAACGGUCCAGACUCCUACGGGAGGCAGCAGUAGGGAAUCUUCCGCAAUGGGCGAAAGCCUGAAGGAGCAACGCCGCGUGAGUUAAGAAGGUCCUCGGAUCGUAAAACUCUGUUAUUAGGGAAGAACAAACGUUUAAGUAACUGUUCACGUCUUGACGGUACCUAAUCAGAAAGGCACCGCUAACUUCGUG
Molecule: ribosomal RNA, 497 nt
Filed under: uncultured bacterium
Lineage: Bacteria
Description: partial 16S ribosomal RNA
Rfam family: Bacterial small subunit ribosomal RNA
Source: RNAcentral